GCCAGGCACAGUGGCGUGUGCCUGUAAUCCCAGCUACUCAGGAGGCUGAGACAGGAGAAUCGCUUGAACCCGGGAGGCAGAGGUUGCAGUGAGCCGAGAUCGCUCCAUUGCUCUCCAGCCUGGGCAACAGAGCAAGACUCUGUCUCAA
This 148-nucleotide small RNA is filed under the name Pongo abelii (Sumatran orangutan). Its description in RNAcentral is "Metazoan signal recognition particle RNA (ENSPPYG00000034138.1)". Lineage: Eukaryota; Metazoa; Chordata; Mammalia; Primates; Hominidae. The record is from Rfam by way of RNAcentral.